RNAcentral lists this ribosomal RNA (277 nucleotides) under uncultured prokaryote. RNAcentral describes it as "partial 16S ribosomal RNA". It matches the Rfam family "Bacterial small subunit ribosomal RNA", at positions 524 to 801 of the family's 1533-position model. The record is from RNAcentral.
UACGGAGGUUCCAAGCGUUGUUCGGAAUUACUGGGCGUAAAGGGAGCGCAGGCGGACAAGUCAGUCUAAAGUGAAAUUCCGGGGCUCAACCUCGGACUUGCUUCGGAUACUACUUGUCUUGAGUUCGUGAUUGGAAGACGGAAUUCAGGGUGUAGCGGUGAAAUGCACAGAUAUCCUGAGGAACACCGGUGGCGAAAGCGGUCUUCUGGCGCGAAACUGACGCUGAGGCUCGAAAGCGUGGGUAGCAAACGGGAUUAGAUACCCCCUAGUCCCUGAG